GGGAUGAUGGAGCUGUGCAGAAUCCAUCGCGGGAAGUGGAGCAGGAUCACAGUGGUUGCUGGGUUGCGCCAGAAAGUACAGGUUCGUCGGCUGAAGUUCGGCAGUGGUCGGAACUGGUGACGGAGCCUGGUUCCCGUAGGAGCCCGGGCGGAGCCCUCCUUGUGGUUGAGGUCGUGGAUGGAGCUCGGCUCCCACAGGAGUCCUGACGGAGUCCUCCUUGAGG
RNAcentral lists this long non-coding RNA (223 nucleotides) under Elaeis guineensis (African oil palm). RNAcentral's name for it is "long non-coding RNA (EGUI_LNC077606)". The record is from RNAcentral. Lineage: Eukaryota; Viridiplantae; Streptophyta; Magnoliopsida; Arecales; Arecaceae.